GGGUUGUGAGGUUAAGCGACUAAGCGUACACGGUGGAUGCCCUGGCAGUCAGAGGCGAUGAAGGACGUGCUAAUCUGCGAAAAGCGUCGGUAAGGUGAUAUGAACCGUUACAGCCGGCGAUGUCCGAAUGGGGAAACCCAGUGCAAUUCGUUGCACUAUCGUUAACUGAAUACAUAGGUUAACGAGGCGAACCGGGGGAACUGAAACAUCUAAGUACCCCGAGGAAAAGAAAUCAACCGAGAUUCCCCCAGUAGCGGCGAGCGAACGGGGAGCAGCCCGGAGUCUGAAUCAGCUUGUGUGUUAGUGGAAGCGUCUGGAAAGUCGCAGGGUACAGGGUGAUACUCCCGUACACUAAAACGCACAGGUUGUGAACUCGAAGAGUAGGGCGGGACACGUGGUAUCCUGUCUGAAUAUGGGGGGACCAUCCUCCAAGGCUAAAUACUCCUGACUGACCGAUAGUGAACCAGUACCGUGAGGGAAAGGCGAAAAGAACCCCGGCGAGGGGAGUGAAAAAGAACCUGAAACCGUGUACGUACAAGCAGUAGGAGCCCACUUGUUGGGUGACUGCGUACCUUUUGUAUAAUGGGUCAGCGACUUAUAUUCUGUAGCAAGGUUAACCGAAUAGGGGAGCCGCAGGGAAACCGAGUCUUAACUGGGCGUUAAGUUGCAGGGUAUAGACCCGAAACCCGGUGAUCUAGCCAUGGGCAGGUUGAAGGUUGGGUAACACUAACUGGAGGACCGAACCGACUAAUGUUGAAAAAUUAGCGGAUGACUUGUGGCUGGGGGUGAAAGGCCAAUCAAACCGGGAGAUAGCUGGUUCUCCCCGAAAGCUAUUUAGGUAGCGCCUCGUGAAUUCAUCUUCGGGGGUAGAGCACUGUUUCGGCUAGGGGGUCAUCCCGACUUACCAACCCGAUGCAAACUACGAAUACCGAAGAAUGUUAUCACGGGAGACACACGGCGGGUGCUAACGUCCGUCGUGAAGAGGGAAACAACCCAGACCGCCAGCUAAGGUCCCAAAGUCAUGGUUAAGUGGGAAACGAUGUGGGAAGGCCCAGACAGCCAGGAUGUUGGCUUAGAAGCAGCCAUCAUUUAAAGAAAGCGUAAUAGCUCACUGGUCGAGUCGGCCUGCGCGGAAGAUGUAACGGGGCUAAACCAUGCACCGAAGCUGCGGCAGCGACACUAUGUGUUGUUGGGUAGGGGAGCGUUCUGUAAGCCGUUGAAGGUGGCCUGUGAGGGUUGCUGGAGGUAUCAGAAGUGCGAAUGCUGACAUAAGUAACGAUAAUGCGGGUGAAAAACCCGCACGCCGGAAGACCAAGGGUUCCUGUCCAACGUUAAUCGGGGCAGGGUGAGUCGACCCCUAAGGCGAGGCCGAAAGGCGUAGUCGAUGGGAAACAGGUUAAUAUUCCUGUACUUGGUGUUACUGCGAAGGGGGGACGGAGAAGGCUAUGUUGGCCGGGCGACGGUUGUCCCGGUUUAAGCAUGUAGGCGGAUGUUCCAGGUAAAUCCGGAACGUUAUUAACGCUGAGGUGUGAUGACGAAGCACUACGGUGCUGAAGUGACAAAUGCCCUGCUUCCAGGAAAAGCCUCUAAGCAUCAGGUAACAUCAAAUCGUACCCCAAACCGACACAGGUGGUCAGGUAGAGAAUACCAAGGCGCUUGAGAGAACUCGGGUGAAGGAACUAGGCAAAAUGGUGCCGUAACUUCGGGAGAAGGCACGCUGAUGGUAGGUGAAGCGACUUGCUCGUGGAGCUGAAAUCAGUCGAAGAUACCAGCUGGCUGCAACUGUUUAUUAAAAACACAGCACUGUGCAAACACGAAAGUGGACGUAUACGGUGUGACGCCUGCCCGGUGCCGGAAGGUUAAUUGAUGGGGUUAUCCUCGCGGAGAAGCUCUUGAUCGAAGCCCCGGUAAACGGCGGCCGUAACUAUAACGGUCCUAAGGUAGCGAAAUUCCUUGUCGGGUAAGUUCCGACCUGCACGAAUGGCGUAAUGAUGGCCAGGCUGUCUCCACCCGAGACUCAGUGAAAUUGAACUCGCUGUGAAGAUGCAGUGUACCCGCGGCAAGACGGAAAGACCCCGUGAACCUUUACUAUAGCUUGACACUGAACACUGGUCCUUGAUGUGUAGGAUAGGUGGGAGGCUUUGAAGUGUGGACGCCAGUCUGCAUGGAGCCAUCCUUGAAAUACCACCCUUUAAUGGCUGGUGUUCUAACGUGGGCCCCUGAUCGGGGUUGCGGACAGUGUCUGGUGGGUAGUUUGACUGGGGCGGUCUCCUCCUAAAGAGUAACGGAGGAGCACGAAGGUCAGCUAAUCCUGGUCGGACAUCAGGAGGUUAGUGCAAUGGCAUAAGCUGGCUUGACUGCGAGCGUGACGGCGCGAGCAGGUGCGAAAGCAGGUCAUAGUGAUCCGGUGGUUCUGAAUGGAAGGGCCAUCGCUCAACGGAUAAAAGGUACUCCGGGGAUAACAGGCUGAUACCGCCCAAGAGUUCAUAUCGACGGCGGUGUUUGGCACCUCGAUGUCGGCUCAUCACAUCCUGGGGCUGAAGUAGGUCCCAAGGGUAUGGCUGUUCGCCAUUUAAAGUGGUACGCGAGCUGGGUUUAGAACGUCGUGAGACAGUUCGGUCCCUAUCUGCCGUGGGCGCUGGAGAAUUGAGGGGGGCUGCUCCUAGUACGAGAGGACCGGAGUGGACGCAUCACUGGUGUUCGGGUUGUCAUGCCAAUGGCAUUGCCCGGUAGCUAAAUGCGGAAGAGAUAAGUGCUGAAAGCAUCUAAGCACGAAACUUGCCCCGAGAUGAGUUCUCCCUGACUCCUUGAGAGUCCUGAAGGAACGUUGAAGACGACGACGUUGAUAGGCCGGGUGUGUAAGCGCAGCGAUGCGUUGAGCUAACCGGUACUAAUGAACCGUGAGGCUUAACCUUACAACGCCGAAG
RNAcentral lists this ribosomal RNA (2927 nucleotides) under Klebsiella michiganensis. Its description in RNAcentral is "23S ribosomal RNA". It matches the Rfam family "Bacterial large subunit ribosomal RNA". Lineage: Bacteria; Pseudomonadati; Pseudomonadota; Gammaproteobacteria; Enterobacterales; Enterobacteriaceae. The record is from RNAcentral.